Molecule: long non-coding RNA, 1150 nt
Filed under: Helianthus annuus (common sunflower)
Lineage: Eukaryota; Viridiplantae; Streptophyta; Magnoliopsida; Asterales; Asteraceae
Description: hypothetical non coding rna
Source: RNAcentral
GUUACACAUGAUUAAAGGGGCGUUAAGUGAUUCAGUCGCGGCGAAAAGUGCGCUUAAGAAGCUUUAAACAUUAUGUGUAGUCUUGAUGAAUAAAAAUGAAUUAGAUUUUGAUUAGCUAACAGCUAAUUUACCAAUAUACCCCUAAAGAGUUGAAUGUAAUUAAUAAGCUUCUAAACCAUACAACACGCCGGAAUAUUUUUCCGGCAUAACAUCGACGAAGUACAAGUCUCUCAUCUUUUGAAAAACGUGCCACGUCAGCAAGCUAUCUGAACUGGCCUGAUGGCACUUCCCAGCAACCCGGUUCACUUCUAAAAGACCCGCCACCCGGUCCAACCCACCAUACAACCCGGUCCGGCAAAACGUCAUCAAAUGCUUCACGUCAUACACAUCAUCCCCAAAAAACACCUUCAAACUCUCCAAAAACUCCGGCAACCCAUCCGGCAGACGACGGCGCGUGAGAAUCUUCAACAAAUACCCAAAGUCAUACGCGCUGUGAAACGUCACCCAACUCACCGACUCAUUACACACCAACCCGGAUGACAUCAUCAACUCAGCAAACUCAACCGAGUCAACCCCAUCAACCCGGUUGCGUUCAAAAUCAAUCCCUUGAUUCCUCAACAACUCAAUCGACUCAGGCGCGUGGGCGUCACGCGUGACAUCAAAAUCAGAAAAAUUAAACUGCCAGAUGUAACGUUGGUGGGACCCAUCGAUAACCGGAAGGUUACCGGAAGAAUCAGAGAGGGUGAGACCGAGCUGGAUGAGGUUCAAAACGUCGACGUUUGACUUAAGAAGCUGAUAAUGAUCCGACGGUCGACGAUGCUUGUAAGAUGAUGAUGAACGACGGUAUACAACGCCCGGGAAUUCUGUGUCCAUUGAGAUAUAUGGGUAUCUAUCGAUGAUGGAUCGGAUCAAAUCGAACUCGGAUUGUAAGUUGUGAGACCAUACUUCUCGGAUCGUGAUGGUUUUAUCGAUACAGUUUGACAUGAUUAUUAUUUAUAGUAUUUAACGCAUACAACACCACCACCAGUUUGAAUUGGUUAAUAUGUGAUCUAGCGGGUGUGAGGGGAUGAAUUGGGAGAUGAUAUAUAUAGAGGAGGAGAGUAUGAUGAUGGGUGGAAGAAAUCUAAAAUGAUGGCGUCCAGCUUUGUUU